RNAcentral lists this long non-coding RNA (3724 nucleotides) under Salmo salar (Atlantic salmon). Its description in RNAcentral is "lncRNA (ENSSSAG00000084156.1)". The record is from RNAcentral. Lineage: Eukaryota; Metazoa; Chordata; Actinopteri; Salmoniformes; Salmonidae.
GCUAGGUAAAACAUUUAUAAAUGAAUAAAAACGUUCCCUUUAUUUUUUGUGUGUUUCUUACAGAUAUUUCCCCACAAAGUUCUUGUUUUUGAUUCAUGUUUUUUUUUUUUAUCUUUCCCUCUCUUAAAUUAUAAAAAUAUUUCAGACAUUCAUUUCGCAUGUGUUUCAUUCAGUCCUCUUGAUUAAUGCAUAUGCCCCUGUAUUUCUAAAGACCCAUUGGUUUAUACAUUAUUUACAGGUUAACUCAGUCUAUCUCCCGUUUCAGCCUUGGCGUUAGGACACCAGAACAUAUUUGCAUAGAUUCCAGGAGAGAUCUAUCAUUUCACAAUACAGGAAGAAAAAAAAGUAAGAAAGAACAGCUGACAGACAAUUCCCAGAAAAAUGAAACAUAAUCAAAAUAGUUUGAAACUUAAAUCUUUAAAAAAAAAAAUACACACACACACACAGACACACACACACACACACUAGUGAUGAGAACCAUAAAUCCAUCCUCAUCAGCUCAUUGAUGAGAUAAUCACAAUGAGCCGUUCAGCUCUCUUGUGGUUUCUUGUCAUUUGGAACGGUAACAACAUCCUCUCCAACACAGUUUGAAUAUGAUAGGCAGUAAAUAUAAUAGGAAGUCAGGAAGUUACAUCAGAGGAUAUUUUUCAAACCUCGACUGCAUGGCAUUAUGUGGAGUGGCUGACUGGCAGUUCCAGAGAGAGAUGCAUGGCAUUAUGUGGAGUGGCUGACUGGCAGUUCCAGAGAGAGAUGCAUGCCAUUAUGUGGAGUGGCUGACUGGCAGUUCCAGAGAGAGAUGCAUGGCAUUAUGUGGAGUGGCUGACUGGCAGUUCCAGAGAGAGAUGCAUGGCAUUAUGUGGAGUGGCUGACUGGCAGUUCCAGAGAGAUGGUUGUAUGAGGGAGAGAGAUGCAUGGCUGAGGAAGACUACUGCUGCCACACACACACACACACACACACGACAAAACCUGGAAAGAGCUGAACACGCUCACAAAUCACCAAUCAAUACAAUUGAAAUAGUUGCUUGAAUUUCUUAAUUUACAAUAAAAGGAAAAUGAAAAUGCUAACAUGUUGAAAACACCUGAUCCAGCUACUGUCUGUAGCCACCCCGAAACCCAGAUGUAUUUAACUCAACACUUAUUAUAGGUUUGCGUUCUUGUGGAUGGGGGUUGCUUCAAGAGAACAGUGAACUGUAAUAAAAAGGACAGUGAAACUAACUCACACACCUUUAACAAGCAAUUCUUUCACAGAAAAAUAUUCAUACAAAGUUAAAAUCGGAGUUAAGAGUGACUGAUUUGAUGUCUGAUCAAAUGAAAUAGAUAACGGUUAAGAGAUAAUCAUUUGGUCAUUGCCAGGGUACAGUUCGUGACCUUAAGAGGGGUCACCAACUGUAAAAUCCUUUUCUCUUGCACAAUGUAUUGAGACAAAAUAAAAGUGAAUGAAAGGGGAUACAUCGGAGGUGAACGAACAGAGACAGAAGGUAUGGAUAUGGACAGCUGAAGGGACGGAUGUUGUUUUGGAAAACACUGCAGUAAUUUACUCUCUCCCUCUCUCUUCAACAUAGAAACAGCUUGAUUCUCUAGUCUCAGUCUAGCACAGAUUACCCAGAACCUACUUGUGGAACUAGCGACUUCUCAUAGAUUUUUUUGUUCAUAUAUCUUUUUAUUGAAUUACUGUAUUUUUUUCCUCUUCAAAACAUCUGGAUGUAGCUGUUCGAGGACUUGGGGAAUAUCGUCAAUUCUUGAGAGUUAUACAUGCCCAGAAUAAGAGUAACAGCGUAGGAUAUUAAGGGGACUUAUUGUAGCCAUGGCUUUCCUCAAACGUCAAAAGUCGUACCUGUCGACCAGAGUUUUGGCAUAUCCAUUUAAAUUCUGACAGAUGUUCUGAAAAAAAAUGGCAAAAAACAGUUAUUUCACUGACAGACCAGAGAGAAUGUUGAGCCAAGUUACUGACAAUAUAGAGACAGGGUUAGAGAUGGACUUUCACACACACACACACACACACACACACACACACACACACACACACACACACACACACACACACACACACACACACACACACACACAACCUCAAACCCUAGAUAAAAAAUAAAAAAAGGAAAUGAAAGUAAUUAAAGUGUCUUGGCAAAGCUUCAAACACUGUGUGGGCGGCUAGCUUCUCAACACGACGCAUAUUAAUCAAUAUUAGAUCCAUGGAAACACUGACAUGGUUAAACUUUCUACAGACUAGUUUCCCAGAGAGAAGAAAAAGGUCCCAUAUUUACUUGGUACCUCAGAAUGACACCUUUUAGAUAUGUAUAUUACCUAUGUAAGGUUAAGUAUUACUGUUUAAGACCGCAUCGCGCUUAGUUAGGCUAGUUCCAAGGUUAUCAUUAGCCUGGCUACCAGUCUCUUAGUUAGGCUAGCUCCAAGGUUAUCAUUAGCCUGGGUACCAGUCUCUUAGUUAGGCUAGCUCCAAGGUUAUAAUUAGCCUGGCUACCAGUCUCUUAGUUAGGCUAGCUCCAAGGUUAUCAUUAGCCUGGGUACCAGUCUCUUAGUUAGGCUAGUUCCAAGGUUAUCAUUAGCCUGGGUACCAGUCUCUUAGUUAGGCUAGCUCCAAGGUUAUCAUUAGCCUGGGUACCAGCCUCUAGCGUAUCCACUCCCUAUACACAAAUCAAAUCAACAUAUUAAUUGUUAACGUACACGUGUUUAGCAGAUGUUAUUGCGGGUGUAGCAAAAUACUCCAUGUCACGUGCCAAAGAUGGUAACGGCAAGGAGUGGAAUGUUAGCUAAGAGAGACUGGUACUCAGACUAGGUUAUCAUGACAGUUCUAUGUUCCAUUAUAGAACGGUUGGGGUGACUGUUCUAUGUUUUUGAAUUCCAUGUUCCUAGCCUAGGUGAUAGAUCUACAGUAUCUUUCCCUUGCAACAGUUGCCCCACCCCCCCGAACAGAAAUAUGGCCUUUCAGUAUAGAUAGCCAGCGUAAACUGAUAAUGGCUCUUAGGACUGGGACCCUAUUCUCCCAGGGUUUAGAGAGCCCAAACAAAACUGUGUAGCCUAUUUCUCACAACAGAUUUGAUGGAUGGAACGUCAGUUUGGUUAAUUGCAAACAGGAAACUAAAUGUGAUAAAUGUAGUCACAUUAAACAAAUGUAAAGCUUUUAGAGGAACCAAUAUCUCCCGAGUAAAACCAGCACGAGAGAAGGGAGGUUGAAAGCAACGAGCAUGAGGUUUUCUCCCAGUCUCAGACUACCGAUUAACCUUCCCAUCCUCUGUCCCACACUGAACCUUCAGAGAAGUAUACUCUACAAAGCAGGAUCAAUGAGUUAGCCAGCUAACUUUGAUAAGCAACCAGAAAUAACUAUUGCUAUUCUAAUUCAUUAAGAAAUCUAAACUUGGAUACAAGUUUUGGUUGAGCCAAUUUCAAGGUUAUCCUUCUAAAAAAAGAAAACGUUUCAGAAUAUUUAGGCCUGGCUAACUCAUUGAUCCUGCUUUGUAGUACACACACCUUUAAGCACUGCAGUGUUUUUUUAUACAACAGGACAGAAACACAGCCUUUCCUAUGGCAACACCAGGUACAUGACCAAAUAGACUGGCAACACCAGGUACAUGACCAUAUAGACUGGCAACACCAGGUACAUGACCAAAUAGACUGGCAACACCAGGUACAUGACCAUAUAGACUGGCAACACCAGGUACAUGACCAAAUAGACUGGCAACACCAGGUACAUGACCAAAUAGACUGG